UACGGAGGGGGCUAGCGUUGUUCGGAAUUACUGGGCGUAAAGCGCACGUAGGCGGCUUUGUAAGUUAGAGGUGAAAGCCCGGGGCUCAACUCCGGAAUUGCCUUUAAGACUGCAUCGCUAGAAUUGUGGAGAGGUAAGUGGAAUUCCGAGUGUAGAGGUGAAAUUCGUAGAUAUUCGGAAGAAAAACAGUGGAGAAGGCGACUUACUGGACACAUAUUGACGAUGAGGUGCGAAAGCGUGGGGAGCAAACAGG
RNAcentral lists this ribosomal RNA (253 nucleotides) under uncultured bacterium. Its description in RNAcentral is "partial 16S ribosomal RNA". It matches the Rfam family "Bacterial small subunit ribosomal RNA", at positions 524 to 776 of the family's 1533-position model. The record is from RNAcentral.